UUGGGUCCUGAGUGGGGAAAAAAAGGGUGGAGUGGGGAGGACAGGUGAGCACUCCUGCGAAACACACACACACAACCCUUAAGCAUUUAGGUGAACGUGAUCCUUCAGGCAAGACGGACUUCCCGUGAUUACUGCUGUUUCUGUUCCCAGUUUGUGACAUCUGUUAAUCAGGGACAAACAAACCCUUGUGGCCCCAUAAUCAACCAGAAGAAAAAAAAAAAAAAAGACUUACUUUUUAUGUUGGUUUAUUUAAAGUAAUCAAAAACUUUUAAUCAGAAGACAGGAAAAACAUCCUAAUCCAAUCACAAAUUACACGUCGCAAUUUAGCAGCUGGGUUGCAGCACGGAUUUCCAAAGCUGCACCGACCAGCAGUCCAACGCUCAUACGUGGCCGUGCUUUAAAAACCGAUUGAGGCGCAUUUUUUUUUCCCCCUUUUCUUUAAAGCGAUGCAGGUUUCCAUGACAACACUGUUAUGUCAAAACAACACCUGAGUAAAACCGAAUUCUCGGCCAGCCGUUUCACGCGAACGUGGUUUAAGUUACUCUCCGACGCAAACGCUCGCUUUCCUUCGUCUUGCCUUCGCAUUAAAGUGGACCCUUCCUAUUUGGCAAACUUCGACACGUCGGCUGAGAGAUGAACAUUUUCACUCGUGGUGAUUGAAAACGCAUGAUGCAAAGAGCUCAAAUAAACAACAGGUAACAAGGCAUCCAAGUAGAAUUAGAUCGUUACUGAGAAGGUACUCGAGGGACAAAAAUCAAAUCAAAUAAAUAAAUAAAUAAAUAAAUAAAUAAAUAAUCAGAACAGAUCAAGGUCUAUUUAUGGAAAAACAAAACCUAAAGAUAUCUGGGCUCAGACAGGUAAAAAUAACACUGCCAUGUUUUCCGCAUUACGCCACAGCAAAGUAAUGGACUGCAGAGCUACAGAUCCCUCCACAUCAAGUCGUUUGGCUAAGUGGACUCGAUGGCUGGAAAAUAAAAACAUGUGGUAAAAGCAAAGUACAAUCAGUGAAGGUCCAGCCCAUCCCCUCCACAGCCAGAAAUCAUGGCUGCACAUUCAGUCAAGCCUGAGUUACUAAUUAAAACAUGGCAGAAUACUGAACCCCCUCCUCCACUGCACUAUCAAAGCUCUAAAAACCUCUCCAAGCAACAUCACCCAGGUUUCACAAAAAACACAGAAAACUAAUCCUGAAGGUGCGUUUACAUUACUCAACACGCACGGUAAAGGAAGAUUUUGCCGUGAAAAAAAAAAGGGGGGGGGAGGGGGGUGUUCCCAGCAAAGAAGGUAAUUUGAUGAUUAAGCUGUUGCUUACAUCUCCGCUGAACAUAUUUCAAACACUGCCUGCUCUACGCUGUAGCCCAGAGGCAGAGCAGGAGCCUGGGUUUAACUGAACACUCUUCAUUGCUGAGCUGGUAAAUGGGUCAACAGAGCUGAGGGGGUCGAAUGACAGUGGCGCUCUGUCUGGGGAGAGCUCACGAUGCUGGGAUUCCUGAUUAAUCACUGAGCUGGAGCUUCCCGGGUGGUCCUGGCGGUCUCGUCAACCUGCCCAACAUGUGCAUCUCGAGCAGAGCCACUAAUGACCGUAAAUGCUGGCUGAACCAUGGGCUAUUCCUUUGUAUAAAGACGGCUUAAGAGAACGCUAUCGUUUUACCUCCAAGUUUAAAAAAAAAGUAAGGGGGGUGGGGUGGGUAAAAAGCUUAAAACGAAAACGAAAGAAAGCCACCUUAUUUUUUUUUUUUUUUCGGAGAGGGGGUGAAAGAGGUCGCACAUGAACUCCAAAAGCAGGGAAAGAAAACUGGAACAUUGCCUUGGAUCAUGGUACUGAGUCGAGGAUGGUCAAAGAGGUGAAUCCCAGGCUUUGGAUGAUGGUACCGAGUCGAGGAAGCGAACCUGGGCUUUGGAUCAUGGUAUUGAGUCGAGGAAGCGAACCUGGGCUUUGGAUCAUGGUAUUGAGUCAAAGAGGUGAAUCCCGGUCUUUGGAUCAUAGUAUUGAGUCGAGGAAGCGAACCUGGGCUUUGGAUCAUGGUACCGAGUCGAGGAAUCGAACCCGGGCUUUGGAUCAUGUUAUUGAGUCGAGGAAGCAAACCCGGGCUUUGGAUCAUGGUACCGAGUCAAGGAAGCGAACCCGGGCUUUGGAUCAUGGUAUUGAGUCGAAGAGGUGAAUCCCGGUCUUUGGAUCAUAGUAUUGAGUCGAGGAAGCGAACCUGGGCUUUGGAUCAUGGUACCGAGUCGAGGAAUCGAACCUGGGCUUUGGAUCAUGGUAUUGAGUCGAGGAAGCGAACCCGGGCUUUGGAUCAUGGUACAGAGUCGAGGAGGUGAAUCCCGGGCUUUGGAUCAGGGUACUGAGUCGAGGCCGAUCGAGGAGGUGAAUCCCGGGCCAGUGUCUGAACAGUACGCUCUUUGAAUCAGCGCAACAUUCCUCAGAAGUUUGCAAGCGGUUCCAACACUGAAGCUUCCUGUGCUGGUUCGAGAUGCCAAAAGGCAUUAGUGGCAACCUGUUCAAUGUAGAGUACAUGCUCAUUCGUUCAAAACGUGGAGAUCAUACAAACCUUUCAAGAACGAAGGUGCAAUCAACACCAAGUGAUUCGGCCUCACUAUGAAGAGUCGUACACGCUCCGUUAAGAACGUAAACGAACGUAAACACGGUAUUUGAAACGAACGGAUAAUGGGUUUGUUUUCCCAAACUGAUGCAAAAUAAUAGGCAUACUAUUGGGGUGUGAAUAAUUACCGCUCGAGCAGGAUUUAACAAAACAGUCCCACGGACAAACUCUAGCUGAGACCCAUGAUGAACUCGAGUGAUGUAGCUGAGGUCGAGGAACUGUCGAGAGCCAGAAUUCAGACCAUGCUGACAAUGGUGGCAGUGGGGGUCUCCAAAAAAAACCCACCAACAACAACAAAAAACCCCACACCACUCAUCAAUUCAGAUACAAAUAUGAAUAUCUUGAGCAGAUACAAACAGUGGCAUUGUGGUAUACUCCUAAACCUUAGCCAUUCUUUAUUUCAACUGAUCUCUUUCCUUUUAGACAGACUUAUCGAACAAAGGCGGCCUGAAUGACCCUUGUAAAAGGUGUGUGAUGAGCAACAUCUGUAGCACCAUCUGAACCAGUGCUACAAGAAAAGAAAAAAAAGAAAGAAAAAAAAAAACUGGCUAGUUUUUCCCCCCAUAAGCUUUUGUGUUCAUUCAGGGAAUUUGUUUAAAAAGUUCUGGCAAACAAGACCACGAAAAACUUGUAAUCCAAAAAAUCCCAAAUAAAUCUUGAUGGUGUUUUAAAAGAAACGCAAAAGCAUCAAAGUUCAAAGUACCAGGACUAUUUUAUCCCCAGUGUUUAUAACUCAAGUAUACUGCUUUAUAUUUACUUCAAAUAAAGUACUCCUCUUUUUUCAAUUUUUGCCCAAUUUCUGGACCCCUGAGGGGGUUUUUUUUUUUUUUAACCAUCUAAUUAUUCGCACAUGUUUCCGAUCUCUCACAAGACACUAUAAAUGUCAUUUGCUCUUCAGAAAGGUGGAGUAUUGAGAAGUAUGCUUGAACACAAUCGCCAUGCAUUGUAGUACUUUAACGCAGAAGAAUCAGUUGUACCCUGGGUUCACAGUUGGUACUAAAAUAAAUGAUCUCUCCAGGAAAUAUAACCUGUUUAAUAAGAACUCAAGCAGCACUACAAAAUGACUGCAUCCCAGACGGACACAGCAGGGGAUUGAGUAUAUUAUGCCAAAAAAAUAAGACAAAAAGAAAAAUUACGGUAGCCCUUAACCUUUUUUUAAGUUUAAACUUGUUUCACCUUCAUGUUGGUCUAUUUUCACUUUGGUUAAAAGUUUCCUAUAUUACCCAAGACGCCGUCGUUCAAAUACCUGCUGGUAGUGCUGCCAGUGAGAUUAGACAUCAUUUCAUCGCUUUAGGCAGAGUGAGAUGCGGCAGCGCUUUAGCAGUUUCUCUCCCACCUCCUCAUCUGUACUCUCUGCUCGCAUGGAUAAGGCUUCACCUUUUAUGCCGAUACAAGUCAACGCUCAACGUGAAUAUACAGUUGCAAUCAAAAUGAUUCGACCCCCAUUGCAAAUCAGGUUUAUAUAAAUACCCAAACCGGCUAGGGGUAGAAGAUGUUAAAUACCUGGACGGGGCAGAAAAAGGAAGCUAUCAAGGAUUUAGUGAGCACAGUAAGGCGCGUAAUAAACGCAGAAGGUUUCCAUGCCAGAACUCCAAGACGUACACCACUACUGACUCAAAAGCACAAGAAAAGUCGGCUCAAAAUCAUAUAAAUAAGCCACAGAAGUUUUGGGAUUCUGUUCUGUGGAGCGAUUAAACGAAACUGGAACUUUUCGGCACGAUGGAUCAGCGGUACGUCUGGAGGAAGAAGAAUGAAGAAAGAACACUCUGUCCACAGUCGAGCAUGGUGGUGGCUCGGUGAUGCUCCGGGGCUGCUUUGCAUCCUCUGGCACUGGAAACCUGCAGCGUCUGGAAGGCGAGAUGGAUUCAUUGAAGGAUCAGGAAAUCCUAGAAGAAAACAUCACGCCGUCUGUGAGGAAGCUGCAGCUUGGGCGUCAUCAGACCUUCCAACAGGACAAUGAUCCCAAGCAUACCUCAAAUUCCACCAAGGAUUGGUUGCAGAAGAAGUUCUGGAAGAUUCUACAGGGCCGUCACAGUCACCUGACUUGAACCCCAUAGAAAAUCUCUGGUGGGAUUUGAAGAAGGCGGUUGCAGCACGCAAACCCAAGAAUAUUACUGAACUGGAGGCCAUUGCUCAUGAGGAAUGGGAGAAGAUUCUUCAGGAACACUGCCAGAAGCUCUGCAUCUCGUUUGCAGCAGGUCAUAACAGCAAAAGGGUGUCUACUAAGUACUAAAGAUGCCUGCCAUGACGGGGUUGAAUCGUUUUGAGACUGGAGAAGUCAUUAUAAGUUGCAUUUUCAGUUGAUUUUGGGGAAACCACUUGGAGCAUUCGUUGUGUUGAACUAUUUCAACUGCUUGUUUGAUUUGUUCAUCGUAAACAGCUGAAAGUCUGUACAUUUUAACAAUAAACCGGAUUUGAAUAAUUUGAUUGCAACUGUAUCUUACAGCCGAACUGAAUUCUGAAACUUUCAGUGGAAAACGGUGACUGAGGAAAAAGAAGCUCUUGCUUUUUUGUUGAGAGACGAAACAUGAACGUAACUGAGCUAACAAUAUCAACCAAAAGCUUCUGAAGAGACCUCCAAGAGGUUUAACAGAACUAUGCAACAAAAGCAAUAAAAAAAAAAAUCUCUAUGUAUGGCUCUACUGAUAUGCAAGAUCCCUCCGUGAAGACGGAUUUCAGCAGACACUGCUUUUGACCUGCAGGUGCACGAACCACAGUGAGCAAGGGCUCCGGGGCAGGAGUUUUUUUUUUUUGGUGGAAUGUAAUGGCUUGAGAUAUUUGUAAUACCUGACCGUAGCCAGUCAAAACAGCUGCACACAAAUUAUACACAUAACCUUACUGCCCUAUUAUAAACAGUCUCCCACAAGCUGAGCACUUCACAUCUGGCAUGACGCCUGAUGUCCUCCUUCUAUCACAGCAGCCUCAACCAGUCUUUCAAACCUUAUUCAAUGGCUGAUGUCCAGCAGUCAAAGGCAUUCGUUUUCUAUGCCAACAUCUAGAGUGGCGAUGAAGUGAGAAACUCUAACAAGCACCAUGCGUCACACUUCUUAUGCCUUUUUUAUCCCCGGUAAGGACUAAAACGUAAAAACGUCAGUGUGGGGGUUGGUGGAGCUCGGUUAAGAAACAUCUGGGGAGGCUUAUUAAGACUGGUUCCUGCAGCUAAUUAUCCUCAGUUGAAAUCUGGUCCUUUGCUCCGUGAGGCCCAGUCAGCGGGGAACUAAGAACAGUAGCAAAUUACUACGUUCCCACCAAUGAACCACUGGGAAGACAGGCCAAGUCAGGCCCCACCCUACACCGUCAGUUGGCUCAGCCCUGGAGCCCAGGUACAUAAAAGAGCUGCAGUAAGGCCUGAGGCUGCUCCAGACCCCAAGCUGGGUGGCUCUCGUGUCUGGGCCAUGGUGCUCUUCUUUGUCAUUACGGUGGAAAUCUGCAAGCUUCCUUUGUCUCCAAUUAGUUUCUCUGAAGAGUGUAAGGGCAUCCUGAAUGGGUGUUUCGAAUAAUGACCAUUCAUCAGGAGGAAAAAAAAAAAAUAAAAGAAGAAGAAGAAAAAGGGGGAAGCAAAGUUUACGGUGCUCCUUUGAAAACUUCAGAGACAAAGCGGUGAAUCAGCUUUAAACAGAUGGCCUUCAUGAUGGUAGGCUUGUUUGGGUGAGGGGAAGGGAGGUCAGAGCUGCUGCAAGCCACAUUCAGAGGCAGGAAGGCUGACUGAGCAGGAUGUGUGUGCUACAAGGAGGGGGUGCGGCUGCUCGUCGUUGUGUGCGGCUGGACGCACUAGCUAAGCCCAAUGGAUUCUUGUAAACACUGCAGGGGCUCUUUCCUGUGACAGCACACCUGUGCCAAAGUGCUAGCAAAAAAAAAACGAAAGAAUGAAAGAAAGAAAGAAACGAUCGGGACAAAGCUAAAACAUCUCACCCCUCCCAUUUACCACCACCCCUUGAAGCGCAAUAAAUGCUUUGGAGCCAAGCCGCAUGAGUAAACAGAGUUUAUCACCCCCUGUAAAGUUCAAAGGCAGCAUGGUACCCACAAAACAGGUUUUGGAGCAUUAAACUUGCGGGGACUUGAUAAUAAGAAAAAGAUACAUGUUCAAACGAUUGCAGGCGCUCGGCGUUCUGUAGCAUCCUAUGUGCAAUAUGGGAAUUGCAGUAAACUUGCCCCCUUACCUUGGGUAACAUGGGUGUGGACCUCUUGCUUUUCUUUUCCGACGGGUCAUCCAGCUGGUCUGGCUCGAAACUGUAGAGUUCAGUCAGUUCGUUCAUGGUGAAGUGGCGCUCAAUCUGCUGUUGGUCCACCACACGGAAUGAUAGGGACUGUUUGGUCACCUGCCUGUCGUAAAUCUUAUCCUCCAUGGUUCCCUGUUGUAAAACAGACUAACGGCAUUAAGAGGCGAUUGUACUUUGAUUCUAGACGGUUCAGGGCUCUGAUAGUGCUUUGGAAGCAAAGCACUACCUACACUCUUCCGCAUAUAAUCAGCUCACAGACAUUCAUAACUGGCUAGCGUCGUGGCGAUUGACCAGGGAUAGAGCGCGUGUAUGUAUUCCUCCAACUCGGACUGCACGACCAAUUCAUCUGCCUUGGCUCCCAGCCAUGGACGUCUGUGGCACCACUGCGAUUUGACCUAAUGAUCUCCAAAUGCUUUGUUGUUGCUCCACAUUCAUUUUUUUUUUUAAUGUACGUCGUAUUAAAGCGGGAGCGCGAGAACGCGCCGGUAAUACAGUUCGCACGUCACGAAGAGCCUGAGAACAAACAAACAAAUAAAUAACCCACGCAUUCCCUACCUGAGCCAAAAACCUGUAGACGUACACGGUUUUCAGUUGGCCGAAGCGGUACACCCUGAAAAUACUCUGAAUGUCAUAGGACGGAUUCCACGAGGCAUCGAAGAUGAUGACCCGGUUUGCUGCCACUAGGUUGAUCCCUAGAGAACCAGCUCUUGUCGAGAUGAGAAAAAGACGACCCCUGAAGGGAGAAAGAAGGGAAAAAAAAAGAAAGAAAUAAAAAGGGAUUACUGCAUCAGUGUGGUGUGGCAUGGAGGCGAUCAGCCUGUGGCACUGCUGAGGUGUUCUGGAAGCCCAGGUUGCUUUGAUAGCGGACUUCAGCUCGUCUGUAUUGUCGGGUCUGGCGUCUCUCGUAGGUUCUCUAUGGGGUUCGGGUCAGGCGAGUCGGCUGGACAAUCAAGCACAGUAAUACCAUGGUCGGUAAACCAGUUACUAAUAGUUCUGGCACUGUGGGCAGGUGCCACGUCCUGCUGGAAAAGGAAAUCAGCAUCUCCAUAAAGCUCGUCAGCAGAUGGAAGCAUGAAGUUCUCUAAAAUCUCCUGGUAGACGCUGCAUCGACUCUCGACUUGAGAAAACACACUGGACCGACACCAGCAGAUGACAUGGCAACCCAAAUCAUCACUGACUGUGGAAACUUCACACUGGACUUCAAGCAGCUUGGAUUCUGUUCCUCUCCACUCGUCCUCCAGACUCUGGGACCUUGAUUUCCAAAUGAAAUGCAACAUUGACGUUCAUCUUCCCCGUGAUUGUGGUCGCGUGUACUGAACCAGACUGAGAGAUUAAAGACUCAGGAAACCUUCGCAGAUAAAGAGCAAAGGAGUUAGCUUUGUCUGAGGAGAGGAUGAAAAAAAAAAAAAGGGUUUACCGAACGUUGCUGGUGUCAUUGAAUUCUUCAGCCCAUUUCUUCCUAGUAAUGGCAUUGGUAGAACCAUCCAGUCGGUAGUAGUCAAUGUUUCUGAACCACUUGCCCUCACCUUCAAGAGAAAACAACAUUAGAGCCACUCGGCGCCGACUCGCUUUGUACGAGCGCCUCACAAAACAACGACGACGGCGUGAGCGGCCAGUGCUCUGUGCUGCACGAGGUUUCUUUCUCACAGAGAACAAACAAGCUGAUCCAGUCAUAACAAAACCCAGUGUGGUAGAAGCAGCGUGAUAAUGCCUGAUGAGCCAGCUGCGUUCAAGUAGACCUUAGGUAAAAGAAUGCACACAGAAAGGUGGCUGAGUGGAGGGUACUCAUGUUUGGCCUUUAAUAUUACUGCCUCCCUCCUGUGAGAGUGUUCAUAACUAACAUUACAGUAUAUGUUUCCAAUUACUUCUCUGUGAUCUUUUCAUUACAAAUUGUAAAGCCUUAAGCAAACAAUUUCGGGGGGGGAGAGAGGAAAAAAAAAAAGUCAAGGUCUAAUCAUUUUCAAAACGAAAGCAAGAACAGCUGCUGAAGUUUAAUUAAGAAAAUGACCUUACGCCAGAGGCUUUUGGGUCCGAGUGUGUAGGAUGCGUGUGAAAUCGAGACCUUUUUAACUUGGAUCCGUGUCAGAUGUGCGCUAAAAGUCGAAGACGGGCUCCUAAACUCGACCACCGCGCUUUUAACUCGCUCGAUAAACAUAAGAACGCAGGUACGAGAGGUGAUGUUUGAUUGGCCCGGUGUUCUGGGUCAGAAAGGGACCAAACAAAUCUAACCGUUAAACAAAACUACGCUCCGGAUGUCUCGGCGU
Long non-coding RNA from Ictalurus furcatus (blue catfish), 9081 nucleotides. RefSeq lists it as uncharacterized. NCBI's taxonomy places the organism in Eukaryota, Metazoa, Chordata, Actinopteri, Siluriformes, Ictaluridae. The transcript is spliced from 4 exons. The record is from RefSeq and is a predicted model, not a curated record.